AGAUAAACUGUGAGAUGAAGAAACCAAU
RNAcentral lists this non-coding RNA (28 nucleotides) under Cricetulus griseus (Chinese hamster). The record is from RNAcentral. Lineage: Eukaryota; Metazoa; Chordata; Mammalia; Rodentia; Cricetidae.